This 442-nucleotide ribosomal RNA is filed under the name Mirabilicoxa sp. Its description in RNAcentral is "partial 16S ribosomal RNA". The record is from RNAcentral. Lineage: Eukaryota; Metazoa; Arthropoda; Malacostraca; Isopoda; Desmosomatidae.
AUAGCCGCAGUACCUUGACUGUGSUAAGGUAGCAUAAUAAUUUGGCUUYUAAUUAAAGCCCGGAAUAAACGAGAGAACGAUGCCCCCUCUUUCCUGACAUUCAAAAAUAAAUUGAUAUUUGCCUUAAAAAGGGCAACUYUYUGGGGGGACGAUAAGACCCCGUGAAACUUCAUUAAAAAAAUCAAMUUAAUUUYGAAUUUUAAGCUGGGUAAAUUUUAAUUAAGSUGGGGCGGCAAUUAACUUUYUYUAAAAAAAAAAACAUUAUAAAUGGGCCCGUCARAUCUUUUGAUACAAAUARAACAAGUUACUCCGGGGAUAACAGCACAAUUUUUCCARACAGAUCUUAUGGAAGGAAAARACUUGUGACCUCGAUGUUGAAUUUGAAAGGCCCGGCGUGAGCAAAAACUAGCCAGGGGGAGUCUGUUCGACUUUUAAUUUUUCA